Long non-coding RNA from Homo sapiens (human), 1662 nucleotides. Ensembl annotates it as JUN divergent transcript. Its record names the gene JUN-DT. The record is from Ensembl. Lineage: Eukaryota; Metazoa; Chordata; Mammalia; Primates; Hominidae.
GGGAGGGGAAGUAAAACACUAAAUCUAAGGACCACUCUAUUCACCCUACAGUGACUGCUCUUUUUCCCUCCUGCCACAGUCCAGGGUAGGAGAUACUUCUCCAGGCUCUCACUUAUGGGGGCUUUCCUGCUGGCUACAUCACUGAAAUGGAAUCUCCUAGUGGCCCUUCUCCCUCUACAGCUCUGGUGUUACACUGAAAAACUAGAAGUUUCAAAACAGACAAGGGAAAAAGAGAAACAUCAGAAAGUCUGAUUAAAGUAGAAGCAUCAUAUUUCUAUCAACGUAUCCACUGUGCUUGCUGCUCACUGAUGUCACUUAGAGGAAGGCAGGGGCACAAGAUGGGAGGACCCAGAGCUCCGGGUUCUUAAGCAGCAGAGUUCAUAUCAAGGGCCCAUGUUUUAACUGAAUAUAAUGAAUUUUUUUUUUCACCUUGGAAGAGUCUUAGAGGCAAGAUUAGAAUGUUCAUCUAAAAGGAGUGCAAAUUUCUUCAACCAUUCCCACGGAGGAAGGUCUACUCUGUGAAAAGGAAAUGAUCAUACAUAAUUCAUGCAUUUGCUGUACGGAUUUAAUUAAAUGAUAGACAAAAAGUAGAGUGGCACAAGUCAAACUCAAAAAAUAGUAACAACAAAAUCAAUUUCAAAAUAAGCAACAGCAAUAAAUGUUACCUACUAUUUUACGAAUGAAAAUACUGAGACCAAUAAAGGCAUUAUAGUAUACAUAGCCUUGGAAUCAGAAGACCAAGAACAUACAAGAGAACAUAGCCUUGGAAUCAGAAGACCAAGAAACAAUUUAACUCUGCCCCUCUAGAGCUCUGAGAACUUGGGCAAGCCUUUUACCCUCUGUGAGUUUCAGUUUCCUCAUUUAUUUAAUUGAAAUAAUAAUACAGAUCACCUGAAAUGUAAUGAAAAUUAAACAUCCUUAUGUAGGUGAAACCAACUGGCAGCAUGCCUGGAAUAUAGUGAGUGCUCAUUCGGUCUCUUGUAUUUUCUUUCUAUACCCUACUUCUGUUCCCUUGGAUUCAUAUACCUGAAUUGGAAACACCCAAAGUCAAAAAGAAUAAGAAAAAUCUUUAGAAAUGUAGCAUAUUACCAAGAUCUGCAAAUUUCUGCCCAGAGCAGAUGGUUCUAAUAAAGAAAGUCGGAUCUUAUGUUGAGUUCUUUUCUGUCCAAGAAUAGAAGACCUUCCCUCUUCUCCAGUAGUGAAGAAUAGGAUUCAUCAGCCUUGGGGGCAAAGUUAAAAACUUGCUCUAGAAAGUGGCCUGGAUAGUCAGAAACUGCUUAGACUCACUCCAUCUGUUCUAUACACAUACACACACCUUUGUUUGUCAGUAAAAUAUUCAAUGAGACUUGAUAGUCCAAUCCUUUGAAACCAGAAUAAUAUUUGAAAUUUUGAUGAUUUUAUCUAACUGCUAAUAUCACUUGCAGGUCAUCAGUGUUUUACAUCCAACAAACUAAUGGUCAUUUGCUGCUUUAUAAAGAGCCGAUAUAAUUUUGUCUUCCUUGUUAUUAAAGGAUCAAGCAAGGGUGUUUCUGUACCAGUUCAACUUUCCUUAUUUGCUUAUUAGUCAGUAAUAUUCAAGAAAAUCCUAGUUUUAAAAAAUGUCAUUACAUGUUAAACUGUGGAAAGAGUCACCAUCAUUUGAAUAAAUCUUGAGUAAGCCCA